This 497-nucleotide ribosomal RNA is filed under the name uncultured bacterium. Its description in RNAcentral is "partial 16S ribosomal RNA". It matches the Rfam family "Bacterial small subunit ribosomal RNA", at positions 28 to 507 of the family's 1533-position model. The record is from RNAcentral.
GAUGAACGCUGGCGGCGUGCCUAACACAUGCAAGUCGAGCGAACGGACGAGAAGAUUGUGCUUUUGCUGUUAGCGACGGGCGGGCGAGUAACACGUGGAUAACCAACUUCUAUUACUGGGAUAAUAUCGGGAAACCGGAGACACUACCAGAUAAUACUACGUACCGCUGGGUUCAAAAGUGAAUCACGGCUUUCGCGACUGUUAUAGCCGAUUUCGGGCUGGAUUAGCUAGUUGGUAAGGUAACGGCCUACCAAGGCAACGAUGCGUAGCCGACCUGAGAGGAUGAUCAGCCACACUGGAACUGAGACACGGUCCAGACUCCUACGGGAGGCAGCAGUGGGGAAUCUUGGGCAAUGGGCGAAAGCCUGACGGAGCAACGCCGCGUGGGUGAUGAAGGUCUUCGGGUCGUAAAGCCCUGUUAUUAGGAAAGAACAUAUGUAUGUGUAACUGUGCACGUCUUGACGGUACCUAAUCAAAAAGCCACGGCUAACUACGUG